Molecule: long non-coding RNA, 864 nt
Filed under: Citrus sinensis (sweet orange)
Lineage: Eukaryota; Viridiplantae; Streptophyta; Magnoliopsida; Sapindales; Rutaceae
Description: long non-coding RNA (CSIN_LNC002662)
Source: RNAcentral
UGACUUUUGUAAUGGAUAUUAAUGUAAUAUAUAUUUCAAACUUUAUUUUUAUUUAAAUUUUUUAUUUUAAUAUGAUUAACUCAAAAUUAAAAAUAAAAAAUAUAUUAAUUAUUCAGAGAUCAGAAACACUCAGAGAUCCCCUGUUAUUAUUCGGGGAGGGAAUGAAGAUUCUGUUAAAUAAUUUUGAUAUGGAUGGAGGAGGGACAGGGACAUACGCAAAAUAUCGAAAAUGGGUACGGGGAGAUUAGUCCCCUCCCCUCCCCUCCCCAUUGCCAUCCCUAGUUCUAGCGGGGAUCAAGUUGGCCAAAGAUUCUGGAUUCUUGCUUCUUGGAUAUUAGGGAACUCACAGCUGAGUCAAAUCAAUUUCGUAUCAAACUUUUUCCAAGAAAUUGUUACAGAGUAACCCAUGCUAUGGCAAAAUUAGAUUUUUCAUAUUCUGAUUACCAAGUUUAGUUGGGAGAUCCCCGAUGAAAUUGUAUACUUGUUGUAACAAUCUCUGGUUCGGUUUAAUAUAUUUUCUCCAUUAUUAAAAAAAAUAGAAGAAAAAACUUGCUAAUAUGAUUGAGUAUAGAUUUAGUACUCAUCUUUUAUCAAUUGACUUCUUGUUCAGUGUUGUUACAAACAAAUAAGCUGCUGUUCUUUGUGUUUGCUGCUGCUAAUACUCUCUGUUUCAGCUUAUGAUCUUCGGUUUCUUAAUGUCUUCUUGGAUACUGGACUUCUUUUUCGGCUAUUGGCUUUUUGACUUCUUUAUGGCUUCUUGCUUGACCUCCAACUUGCUCUGCUUUCUUCUUUGUUGCUCAGCUUCCAUAUUCCCCUUUUGCCUUUUUCCUUUUUCCUUUUUCCUUUUUCCUUUUCUUACCCCCG